This 53-nucleotide transfer RNA is filed under the name Opisthopatus cinctipes. RNAcentral's name for it is "tRNA-Leu". The record is from RNAcentral. Lineage: Eukaryota; Metazoa; Onychophora; Udeonychophora; Euonychophora; Peripatopsidae.
GAAGAUGUAACGAAUUUAAGUUUCGUAUAUAAAUAAUGAAAAUACUAUUUUUU